GCUGUUGGGAUACCAAAACGCGUAUUCUUCACCACACUGCCACAUCUGCAGCUUGAUCCAUCUGAUGAUUGGAUGAAAAGUCUCCCAGCUGAGAAAAGGAUGGAAAAUUUCAAUGAUAGAUUGAAUUAUGAAAUAUCAAGUUUUGGAAACCUGGAAAUCAGUGAUGCAGACCUUAUAUUUUUCCCAGUGCAUCGCCAUGCACACUACUUUGUUGUGUGCAUAAAUGUCAAGGAAUCCAAGGUUCAGG
Molecule: long non-coding RNA, 247 nt
Organism: Ipomoea nil (Japanese morning glory)
Lineage: Eukaryota; Viridiplantae; Streptophyta; Magnoliopsida; Solanales; Convolvulaceae
Exons: 3
Source: RefSeq, a predicted model, not a curated record